UUUGUUGUAAGGUGAAAACAACAGAUCCCAUUCGAACUCCGAAGUUAAGCACCUUAAGACUGGGUUAGUACUUAGGUAGGGGACCGCUUGGGAAGUCCCAAUGCUGAUAACC
This 112-nucleotide ribosomal RNA is filed under the name Tetrahymena thermophila SB210. Lineage: Eukaryota; Ciliophora; Oligohymenophorea; Hymenostomatida; Tetrahymenidae. The record is from RNAcentral.